UACGUAGGGCGCAAGCGUUGUCCGGAAUUAUUGGGCGUAAAGAGCUCGUAGGCGGUCUGUCGCGUCGGCUGUGAAAACCCGGGGCUCAACCCCGGGCCUGCAGUCGAUACGGGCAGACUAGAGUGCGGUAGGGGAGACUGGAAUUCCUGGUGUAGCGGUGGAAUGCGCAGAUAUCAGGAGGAACACCGGUGGCGAAGGCGGGUCUCUGGGCCGUAACUGACGCUGAGGAGCGAAAGCGUGGGGAGCGAACAGG
Molecule: ribosomal RNA, 253 nt
Filed under: uncultured bacterium
Lineage: Bacteria
Description: partial 16S ribosomal RNA
Rfam family: Bacterial small subunit ribosomal RNA
Source: RNAcentral